UCCAACCCCUCCUCUUUAAAGUUCAGUAUUAGCUGGUGGGCGAAGCCGCCGUCCUUGCUGGCGGGCGGGGAAGUGAUGCCAGAGGGUCUCGGAGCUGGAGUGAUGAUUUCUGCAGGGAAAACGCUUCAUCUCGUUGGUCGUCGGUAGCCGUGAAUUUGCCAAGAGAGAGGAAACCGAAAAGGAAUUUUAAUUCUUUUAAUUUCCUUUCUAAACAGUGUUCUCUGCAUUUCGAAGCUCACAGGAGGUUUGCAGGAACGGGCGGCUGAAUUCCUCAAAUAUAAAUAAUAACCAAAUCAAACUAUAGAAUGGGACGGACGGAGAUGCUCGGGGUGACAGACGGUCCCUCUGCCCGGGGCCGCGGCUGUUCCCAGUUCUGGCCAUUCGGAAUAAAAAAAUGAAUGGGAAAAAAUUUAUUAUUAUAAUAAUAAAUCCUGGUGACUCGGGAAUUAAAGAGGGAUAGGGUAGAGGAACGCAGAGAGCAGCGACCCAGACGGGGCUGAGAAAAGCGGCUCAGCUGCCGAGGUGUGAAUGCAACGGCUGAAAAGAGCUUUCCCCAAAUAAAAUAAAAAUAAAAAUAAAUUCGAAAAACUGGAAAGAAAGAAGAAAAAAGAUCCACGCAAUUAACUCUGUCCCCACGGCUGUUGCGCUUGCAAGCAGGAAUAACCCGGGCUCGGGCACACGGAGCCGGCCGGGCUUGCGGGGAUGCUGCGGUGUCCCCAGGGCUGGGCUGCUGCCACCCCCAUGCCCCCCAGAGCCCUUGGGAGUGUUUUGUUCACUUUGACUAUUUUUUCUAUAUUUUUAGUAUUUAAACCAAGCCGCAAAACACGCUCAGCGUAAGGAAUCGUUUCCUGAUUUCAGUUAUUUCUCGUUAUUUGGGGGUUUGGGCGGCGGCUGAAAGAGAGAAAAUAUUAUUUAUUUGCGGGAAAAAUUAAAAAUAAUCUAGAGCAGGGUAGAAUAUUG
Long non-coding RNA from Pseudopipra pipra, 960 nucleotides. RefSeq lists it as uncharacterized. The transcript has 2 exons. The record is from RefSeq and is a predicted model, not a curated record. Lineage: Eukaryota; Metazoa; Chordata; Aves; Passeriformes; Pipridae.